AACGAACGCUGGCGGCGCGCCUAAUACAUGCAAGUCGAGCGAGAAGGUGUAGUAAUACACUUGUAAAGCGGCGAACGGGUGAGGAAUGCAUGGGUAACCUACCCUCGAGUGGGGAAUAACUAGCCGAAAGGUUAGCUAAUACCGCAUACGUUUCCGGAACUUCGGUUUCGGAAAGAAAGCAAUACCGUGGGUAUUGCGCUCCUGGAUGGGCUCAUGUCCUAUCAGCUUGUUGGUGAGGUAACGGCUCACCAAGGCUUCGACGGGUAGCUGGUCUGAGAGGACGAUCAGCCACACUGGCACUGCGACACGGGCCAGACUCCUACGGGAGGCAGCAGUAAGGAAUAUUGCGCAAUGGACGAAAGUCUGACGCAGCGACGCCGCGUGGGGGAUGAAGGUCUUCGGAUUGUAAACCCCUUUCGGGAGGGAAGAUGGAGUGGGUAACCACUUGGGACGGUACCUCCAGAAGCAGCCACGGCUAACUUCGUGCCAGCAGCCGCGGUAAU
This 503-nucleotide ribosomal RNA is filed under the name uncultured bacterium. RNAcentral describes it as "bacterial SSU rRNA". It matches the Rfam family "Bacterial small subunit ribosomal RNA", at positions 29 to 524 of the family's 1533-position model. The record is from RNAcentral.